GGGGUGAUUGACGGCGUAUACCGCCGCCACCCACUGAGUGGCGACGAAGAGCAUCACUCUCUCCCCAAUCAGCGAGAUUGGGGGACACCUGGCCGGAGGCAGAGGAGCCAUUUUAAAAGGAGCAGGAGGACUGACAUUCGGCAGAAGACCAGGAGCGAGAGGCAGCUGAGAAGCAUCUGGUGCGUUUCACUUAAAAGGGAACCGGUUAAAGACUUUUUGAAGUAAAGAAGAGCAUCUCAUCUGAACCUGAUGUCUAUCAUGGAUAUUUAACUGCAGUUCUGUGAGUAUCCCAACUUAACCAUGAAGCAUAACUGCAAACUGUAAGUCAUUCAUUUCUCAUUACUCUUGGGCACAUUGUAUUUUGACUUCCUGGUGAGUUAACCUGUUACCUGAGUAUUAAGGAUGUUUUAUUGGUUCAUGGGUUACUUAGGUGUUUGGUUUAUGUUGGUUUUAAUGAUUUGUUAAAAUGGUUACAGGCUCCAAGUUAUUGUUGUAAGCUAGAGUAAUAGGUUGGGUUCUGAUAUCUUCAGUCUUCUUUCAUUCUACUCUCCUGAGCUCUGCAUCUUCUUCACGUGAGUCUUGCUUUACUAAUGAGGGUGAGGUCUGAGUGAGCAGAGGUGCAUACUGGGAUACAGAGAUGUCUGAAGUCUACAGGUCUGUAGACACGCCCCCUCAAGGGAAACCGAGUGUUUGAGAAACUGUCGUGACGUCAGUUACAUGGACUGGAAUGUUCUUAAAGAUGGAGACAGGGGUUCAGAAGGAGAAACACCAGGGGGAGAUGAGGGGGCUCCUCAUCUCAACGACUGAAACACAACUUCAGUCUGACACGGAACCAUGGAACACAUUCAACAGUCCCCUCCAGGCAUCGUGACUCCUCAGGAACAGUUUCAUUUCCAAGAAGGUCUUAAUCUGGGGCCAUCCCCAGAUGGAUCCUGCUCCUCAAGAGCCACCCCCCUCCACUGGGUGGUCUUCUGAACAGAUGACCUCCUUCCUGUCCUCAGGCUGACUAAAGCUGCACCGUUUGCAUUCAGGAAACCACUCGACUACAAAGACAUGACUUCAGAGACGUUGAAUCAACCUCGGACACAUUUUGGAGACGCCAAGCAUAAUCCAUCACCAAUGUGGGACGCCACUGAAGAAUGUUGUACAUAAUUUACGUCUCUGGAGACAUUGGUUGUUCUGUUAUGGGUGCCCUGGCAGGAGAGCUGGGGGGGGGGUGAUGGAAUGUUAUUUGGCAUGAGGUUUUUACCCUGCAUGAUUGUUUGGCCUUUUAUGGCUCAGUGGUGGUGUGUGUGUGUUUGGGUUUGACAUGAGAUGGAAGAUUUUUGAGUAUCGCUAGGGUUCUGUGUGUGUGUUUCCCACUCACACCUGGCAUGGGGUCUGUGUGUGUGUCCGCCUUGCUUUGACAGUGAUAAUGUUCAUACGGGGGUCUGCGUGAUGGGCUUGGGAUAUUGGAAUGGUCAACUAAAUCAUACCUGUUGGACGGCCACACGUUUACUUAAGGGCCUCCAGUAGACAUGAAGAGCCCUGAGCGACGCUCCGGAGCGAUAUCCAAAACACUGGGCAGGAAGGAGAGUACCCAACUCAAGUGUAAAAGGAUGCAAGUGGUGUGUUCAGAUCAGUGACUUCAAACUAGGACUACACCAAUCAGGAUCAAUGGAGGAUGGACACCAAAAGGAAUUCCACAAGGAGAGUCUGACGUUGGAAAGGGACCUAAAUGGAUAUUCAAGAUGACCCUCAGACCUGUAAUGAGACGGCUCUUCCUACCUGGCUGGAUUGAUGGAGAGCCCUGUGGAUCUUGUCUUGCUCUCAGUUGCACGUCUUCUCAGGCUGAACUGUAUUUGUUUCGGACAGGACUAGCUGAACGAUUGGUUCCCUUAGAUCGGAACAAAUCCGGGAACUCCAGCUAGUGCGCUCUUCGAGCUGAAGUGUUACUCUUCAGCUGAGGAGGUAAGGGAACCUUCACUGGGGCUUCAAGAUGUAAAGAGGAGAAUGUUUCAGAGUGUUCCAUUGUACUCUGAUGAAGACCGUUGUGUUCUACUGGCUGAGAGGAAGAACCCACACAUCUUCCUCUUGGCCUUUCUCCUCUGAGAAUCCUGGCGUCAUCUUGAAGGAUAUUCCAUUUCAUGUAACUGAUGUCACGACAGAUUCUCAAACACUUGGUUUCUCCUGAGGGGCGUUUCUAUAGAACUGAAGACUUCAGACAGCACUGUAUCCCAGCAUGCAUCUCUGCUCACUCAGACCACAGCCCAUGAGUAGGAUGCAACACUCUAGUGAUGGCGAUGUAGAGUUUUAUAAGUAACGAGGGAGCAGACUAAGGGGAUUAGAACACAAUGGAAUGUCAAGUCUGUAAAUCUUUAAACCAUGAAGAUGGUUGGAUAGUUCAGGAAUUGGGCUUUUUAAUAUGGGCAGUCUUUUCACUCAGAUGCUCACUUCUCACUGGAGCUGUACAUGUGUUGGCUGGCUGGCAUGAUUUGCUGUUGGUGAUGAGGCGGUCAGGGUGACGUUGCAGGGCUAUGGUUGGCUCUCGGUGAGCUCAACGUUUAGAUUUGCUCUGUAUGGUUUGUACCCUGAAUAAUCUAGAUAAUUGUAAAAUGUAGACAUGGUUUUGUAUUGAUUUUUUUUGUACUGAUUCCAGGAUUUUAGGUUUAAAGUUGUUGUACAUGGUAAUUUGCUUCUUCGUAUGGUUUUGAGUGAUAUAACUUGUACACACUGGGUGCAUAGUAGUAGUAAUGACCAACGGCAACAAACGGAUCUCCUCAAGGUAAGUCUGUUGGCUGUAUUUUUAAUGAAGACCAUCGCUGGACUUCAGGAUCUUCCUCCGUUCAGCUCAAGGUGAGGCGCUGGUUAUGUUUUUUCUUUGGUUGGUUCCGGCCGGAAUGUUCGGAUUCCAGUUGGACGGUUUGUGCUUCCCGCCGUGGAAGGUUCUGAGUGUGGUUACUUGAUUUAGUCCCAAUGGUUAGCAUAGAACGUUGUAGUCUUGACAACCAUAAGAAACCACCUGGCAGUUAGUUGGACGGGAGUCCCCUAAGGGAAUCUGGCGGAACGUUCUCGCUUGUAUUUGCGUAAACUCGUGCCGUUGCCAACGGAAACUAUUUCAGUCGGUUUCCAUGGGGAAUUGUUGCCCCUAUCUUGAACAAAUUAAGUUUAUUAAAUACAUACUGACAUGUACGUCGUACAGUAUGUUGAUAAUUUCCAAUGGUUGCGCCGUACUUUUAACCACGUUGACGGGACUCUCGCUGCGUACAGAACGGCGUUCUACUUGCGGCCCCAUUUUUUACAUCAGUGAAGACUGAAAAUCAUUUCAAGGUGGAAGACAAUUUGACAUUUCUUCAAGGAACCCAGCACCUGAAUAUGGCUGAGUAAAUUUGAUUUAAUAUCGAUACUGCUUAGUGUUCUUUGUUACUUCACCUUUUGUACGUUCUAAAUAUCUGCUGUGAUUUAUUGCCACAGAAGUUAAACCCUACCCAAUAUAAUUGACGUUAAACAACAACUUUGGUGCAGAGUUAGCAACUGGAUAAUAUCGAAGCUAAAAAAAUGGCCGUCAUUCCCACAUGUUACAGUAGAAGAUACUAGAGCUGUGCAAGGUUAAAAAGGUAACAUGUAGUUUGUCCCAAGGUGUCUGCCUCCUCAUCCAGAGCAAGAGCUCCACCUCCUCACCCAGAGCCAGACCUCCACCUCCUGUCAGAAGUCCCCGAGAACAGAUGCUGAUAUAAACCUUCUGCUGUAGCUGAAAGGCGAGGCCGUGAGGACUGAGGAGACUGAGGCUGGAGACCAGCGGCCUGCAGCACCGGACCAUAGGACCAGGAAUCCAUGGCUGAAGGAGCUGAUGGAGGAGUCGUGCUGAAGGCCCUGCCUUGUGGAGGAGCUGGUGGAGACCCGGCCUGGUGAAGGACGUCUGUUGUGGGACCAGGACCCUGUCUGAGGAGAGCUGCUGGAGGAGCUGAGACGCUGGAGGACGACUAGGAAUCGACCAACAAGGAUACCUCAACGUGUUUCUAGAGCGGAGGCGAGCUGGUAGGGGAGCGGUGAACCUGGAGGAUGACCAUCACUCUACCAAUAAGGAUUACUUUAGGGCCAGACUCGCGCUGUUUGUUCCAGACCAGGACUCUGGCUGAGGAGAGCUGAUGGAGGAGCCAAGACUCUGGAGGACGACAUCACUCCACCAACCAGGUGGAGUGAUGUUUGCCUAAAAUAAACCUUCAGACGAAUUACGUUUGUAACCAGACCAGGAAUCUGGAGGACUGAUGGAGAAGCCGUACAUCUGGAAGGCAAAUCCUGAGGACCACCAGCACUACCAUCAAGGAUUCCUCAUAAGUUUGCAUUAUCUGGACAUAGUGGACUAGUCGCACCUGAGCUGAACCUCACCUGAUCCUGUUUGGUCAGGGGUAGACACACCUGAGCUAAACCCGCCCUGAUCCUGACAUCCUGCUGGUCCUGUCUCCUCAGUUCAUCUGAGCCUCGUCCUCCAGAAGACCUGCUGAGCUCAGCAGUCUGAGGCUGAUGGAUCAAUGACCUCCAGUGGGAGUGAUCUUCUUGACCCCAGAUGUAACCGUGUGCUUCCACACGCCUUUCCCUCACGUCUUUCACUAACCUCACUACUUCACUACUCUCUCCUGCUUCCUAUUUUCUUCCUUCUCUGUGGUUCAAACCUUCACACGGUAGGCGCGUCUUCCUGCCCUCAGAGGGUUUAGCGUUAGGGUUGAGAGUCAGGGUUUAGAGUCAGGGACAGAGCUGGUCAGGGAGGACUGCUUUUACACAAACCUCUCCACUUGCUUUCGGAAUGGUGGUGACAUUUUGAAAAGAUUCAUUUGGGAAUGUUUUCCUCGGCUUUCCUUUAAAAAAUUGUAUCAAACUUCUGUCAAGUGUUUUUGUUUAUAUAUUAAAAUCCCACAUUGACUUCUACAUGUUUGGUGCGGUUCAUUUAAUUGUCCUUUAACUUAAUUAAUGUCAAGCUAAACUCCUGCAAUACAUUUAAUAUAUUAUAUUCAGCAAUGUUCACAUAAUCCAUUUUGUAAAAAUAUGAAACCUCCAUUUUACUACUAAAUUCAAGCCUAUUCAACAAUGUACAUACUGCCCCGCAGG
This is a long non-coding RNA of Gadus chalcogrammus (walleye pollock), 5085 nucleotides long. RefSeq lists it as uncharacterized. The record is from RefSeq and is a predicted model, not a curated record. The transcript has 9 exons. NCBI's taxonomy places the organism in Eukaryota, Metazoa, Chordata, Actinopteri, Gadiformes, Gadidae.